Molecule: ribosomal RNA, 1117 nt
Filed under: uncultured Gammaproteobacteria bacterium
Lineage: Bacteria; Pseudomonadati; Pseudomonadota; Gammaproteobacteria
Description: bacterial SSU rRNA
Rfam family: Bacterial small subunit ribosomal RNA
Source: RNAcentral
AAGAAGCUUGCUUCUUUGCUGACGAGUGGCGGACGGGUGAGUAAUGUCUGGGAAACUGCCUGAUGGAGGGGGAUAACUACUGGAAACGGUAGCUAAUACCGCAUAACGUCGCAAGACCAAAGAGGGGGACCUUCGGGCCUCUUGCCAUCGGAUGUGCCCAGAUGGGAUUAGCUAGUAGGUGGGGUAACGGCUCACCUAGGCGACGAUCCCUAGCUGGUCUGAGAGGAUGACCAGCCACACUGGAACUGAGACACGGUCCAGACUCCUACGGGAGGCAGCAGUGGGGAAUAUUGCACAAUGGGCGCAAGCCUGAUGCAGCCAUGCCGCGUGUAUGAAGAAGGCCUUCGGGUUGUAAAGUACUUUCAGCGGGGAGGAAGGGAGUAAAGUUAAUACCUUUGCUCAUUGACGUUACCCGCAGAAGAAGCACCGGCUAACUCCGUGCCAGCAGCCGCGGUAAUACGGAGGGUGCAAGCGUUAAUCGGAAUUACUGGGCGUAAAGCGCACGCAGGCGGUUUGUUAAGUCAGAUGUGAAAUCCCCGGGCUCAACCUGGGAACUGCAUCUGAUACUGGCAAGCUUGAGUCUCGUAGAGGGGGGUAGAAUUCCAGGUGUAGCGGUGAAAUGCGUAGAGAUCUGGAGGAAUACCGGUGGCGAAGGCGGCCCCCUGGACGAAGACUGACGCUCAGGUGCGAAAGCGUGGGGAGCAAACAGGAUUAGAUACCCUGGUAGUCCACGCCGUAAACGAUGUCGACUUGGAGGUUGUGCCCUUGAGGCGUGGCUUCCGGAGCUAACGCGUUAAGUCGACCGCCUGGGGAGUACGGCCGCAAGGUUAAAACUCAAAUGAAUUGACGGGGGCCCGCACAAGCGGUGGAGCAUGUGGUUUAAUUCGAUGCAACGCGAAGAACCUUACCUGGUCUUGACAUCCACGGAAGUUUUCAGAGAUGAGAAUGUGCCUUCGGGAACCGUGAGACAGGUGCUGCAUGGCUGUCGUCAGCUCGUGUUGUGAAAUGUUGGGUUAAGUCCCGCAACGAGCGCAACCCUUAUCCUUUGUUGCCAGCGGUCCGGCCGGGAACUCAAAGGAGACUGCCAGUGAUAAACUGGAGGAAGGUGGGGAUGACG